Molecule: ribosomal RNA, 526 nt
Filed under: uncultured bacterium
Lineage: Bacteria
Description: bacterial SSU rRNA
Rfam family: Bacterial small subunit ribosomal RNA
Source: RNAcentral
UGGGGAAUAUUGCACAAUGGGCGAAAGCCUGAUGCAGCAACGUCGCGUGCGCGAUGAAGGUCUUCGGAUCGUAAAGCGCUUUUCUGGGAGAUGAGAAAGGACAGUAUCUCAUGAAUAAGUCUCGGCUAACUACGUGCCAACAGCCGCGGUAACUCUUAGGAGGCGAGCGUUAUCCGGAUUCACUGGGCGUAAAGCGCGUGAAUGCGGGUUGGUAAGUUGAGCGUGAAAGCUCCCGGCUCAACUGGGAGAGGUCGUUCAACACUGCUAGACUUGAGAGCUGAAUACGAAAAUGGAAUUCCUGGUGUAAUGGAGAAAUGCUUACAUAUCUGGAGGAACACCAGUGGCAAAUGCGAUUUUCUGGCCUGUUUCUGACGCUCUCACUGGACAGCUACGGUAGUAAACGGGAUUAGAGACCCCGGUAAUCCUAGCCGAAAACCAUGGGAACUUGGCGUUCGUGGCUUAGACACCAUCACUGCCGAAGCUUACUCCAUAAGUUCACCGCCUGGAGACUACGGCCGCCCCGUUU